This 1456-nucleotide long non-coding RNA is filed under the name Ficedula albicollis (Collared flycatcher). RNAcentral describes it as "lncRNA (ENSFALG00000027917.1)". The record is from RNAcentral. Lineage: Eukaryota; Metazoa; Chordata; Aves; Passeriformes; Muscicapidae.
CCCCCCCCCCCCCCCCCCCCCCCCCCCCCCCCCCCCCCCCCCCCCCCCCCCCCCCCCCCCCCCCCCCCCCCCCCCCCCCCCCCCCCCCCCCCCCCCCCCCCCCCCCCCCCCCCCCCCUCUCCUUUUUUUUUUUUUUAGCAUAUUGUUUUUGUUCUGGAUUUCUUGCCUUUUAGAGAGAGAUGAAUAAUGUUUAUAGGAAGUUCCCAAUUAGUGUUCUAAGCAGGAACUGCCUCCAAUGUUGCUGAAAUGGGAGAGCUGUCACCCACAAGAUGGGCAGAACAAUUUUGCACACUCAGGAGCUGGUUCCUCCAACAAAAGUUUAUGGGAUCAGUGACAGCUUUUUCUGCAGGUACUAAUGGCCCCAGAAUUAGGUGGCCAAUUCCGAUGAGAGCUGCUGCUCUCCAGAAUCUUUCCCUGCUCGCUCGCCAGCGUUACACACACGUGGAAGCUCAGCUGCUCCAGCUCUUUCCAAGUUUCCUCAAGCCUCUACAGUGCAUUUAUUCCUCUACCUGCACAGAACCUUCUCAGGCUCCAUCCUCACAAACUCCUGCUCUGGGUAUAACAAGAAUCCCCCCUUACAAGCCAAUGAUGCUCACCCUGAAGCUGUGCAGCAGCUACACAGAGACAUCGGUGCAACUUCCAAGCAGCAGCUAUGUUUAAAUGUGUUUCAGGUUAUUGGAUGAACUCACUGAGUAUAAACCCCUUGAGAGUUUAAAAUGAUGACUUUAAGAUCAAUAUAGAAAACUGAGCUCAAGCGAUUGAGGAUUUCAGUUGAGGAUCUGCAGAGCCUUAGGAUUUUGUGUCGGGCUGCCCUGGAUUUAUGGAAUGGGAAGAAGGGGAAUAACUGGGUUAAUUUAUUCAGCACUAAGUGACUUAAAACCCAACUGCAUUAUUGACCACACUGAUUCUGGAAUGGAAACGCUUCAAACUCGGUGCCUUAUUUCUGGAAGCAGCUCAAUACUCCAGGGAGCCCUUCGCUAUUGUAUCCUUGGACUGAAUUAUUAUUUAAAGACAACAAAGCUUCUGUUCAGCCGCAGCCUUUCCGCAGAGUGAAUGCAAGCUCCGGUCAUUGACUUGGGUAACGGGAAUUGAUGUUGGAACUCCGCGGCUAAGAACUGCGCGUGUUUGUGAGCAGGUGCAGUGGGAGAGGGGCGAGGAUGGGCGCUGAGAGCUGGCGGUGACCGGCGUUCCUUGGUGUUUCCUGAGGUGGGGAAUCAUCUCGGUGCCUCGCGGGGGCUGCUCUGUGUCUGUGUCCCCUCCCUGUGCCCGUGUCCCCACUCCGUGUCCUUGUCCCCUCCCCGUGUCCCCUCCCGUGUCCCCCGGCGCCGCGCGGUCCCACCUGCCCGCGGGGGGAGCGGCGCUGCAGUUCCGAGCGCGGCCGCGAGGGGCGGGCGGCGCGCGGCGCAGUGCGCCCCCCCCCCCCCCCCCCCCCCCCCCCCCCCCCCCCCCCCCCCCC